GCAUUGGGAAUGAUUAAGGAGUUUAUAUUUUCAUAGAGAAGAAAACAUUAUAGGGAAAAGGAGACCAAGAGAGGGAGUAUAACCAGCCAAAAGAUGUACUGGGCUAACUGGCCUGUUUUGUAUACAUUCAUUCUCCAAUUCUUCUGGGCUGGGCCCUGGAGUAGGAGCCCCAACAACAAAUGAAUUAGUUUCUUAAAUGACUGAGACCUGGAUUCUGGAAAAUCCCAGGAUGGAGAUCUAGGCCUUGAGCAAGUUGGUGGUAAGAUGGCUAGGUGGAGGCCUGGAUGACUUCAGGAUGUGUAAAAGUGAAUCAAGUAUCUAAGUGGGCCACUUGUUAGAAUGGUUUAAGUAGGUUAGUUUGUGUAUACUCAGACAUUACCUACCAGGAAUCAGAGUCAGAAAUGUUUCAGGAUUAUUUCUUAGCUUUCUCCUUUCACCCAUUUCCAGUUUUGGAAGACUUUCCUGGCCGAUGUCAGUUUUCUUUUCUUUAAAUUUUGGUAAGGGUAGACAAGAGACAUUGACCUGAUGGAUUGAGACAAGGAAAAAAGAUGCCAGGGGCUUUGAAAAACACGGAAAGAUCCAUUUAUUCCUUUGGCCAUAAAUACAAAUGUUUCUUUUGGAUUCUUAGGUUUUGCGCCACAGAAACAGGAGAGAAUAAUUGGUUCUGUUGGCAGAAAUUAAAGCACUUCAGAAGCGGAAGAAGAUUAAUUCUUUUAAUCUCAAAAGGAUUCAGGGGCUUUGAUGGAGGGUAGGGGUCAGAUUCCUCAGGAUUCCUCAGGAUUUUAGAGCUUUGACAUCGAGAGGAGUAAAAAGAGCAAUUAGUUUUUAUUAUCCAUGGGGCUAUCCUGAAAGUGGUAUGUUUGAUGCUGCUGGUGAAGAAUCAGUUAGGGGGUCAGGUCUCAUUGCAGGGUUCUACAGCCUGAGAAUUCAUUAAAACAAAAUGAGCAGCAAGAAGGGGGAAUGGGAUCUAUCUUAGUGAAGGUCUAGGUCACUUCCCCUCCUCAGGACAGAACAUCUUACUUAGCUAUUGGUCAUAGACUUGAGUAGAGCCAGGUAGAUGCAAUGCUGUGUAGAGUCUGUAGAUCACACACGGUGCCUUGCCCAUAGUAGCCAGGUGUGAAGGUGAGCAUCAACACCUGUUAUUCCAGUGACUGCCAUUUAGAAGGUAGUGUAGGUUGAUUAUGACUCCCUUGCUCAUGGUAGGACAAAAGAAAGAAUAGUAUGGGAGCAAGAACUUAAAUUUUAUCCCUUUCUACUUGGGUUUUAGUGGUCUGUCUCUCCUCCCUCACCUCCCCAGUUGCUCAAGAGAGAAUAUAGACGCUGUAUAGCUGUAUCUCUGUGUGGUUCCUAGAACAUAGGACUUUGGGGGUUUAUUUUAAUCAUUACUUAUUGUUAUAGUAUGAGAGGAGGCACAGUGGAUAGAUGGGAUGCUGGCCUGGGAAUUAGGAAGACCAGGUUCAAAUCUUGACUCUGGCUUUUACUAGUUGUAUCACUAUGACCAAGUGACUUCACUGCUUUGAGCCUCGACUUUCUCAUCUGUAAAAUGAGAGGGUUGAAGUAGAUGGUUUCUAAGGUCCACUCUGACUCCAAAUCUAUGAUUCUGUGAGCCAGUGAUGGCUUUAGAAAGGUGGGAAAAGACUGAGAGUAUAUGUAACAGGCAGAAAAAGUUAUUUUAAAAAAUUUAAGUAACAUUACAUUAUGAGUCAUGUUGGGAGAGAAAAUCGGAACAAAAGGGAAAAAACAAAAGAAAGAAAAAAAAAACAAACAGAAGGAAAAAAAGGUAAAAAUAUUAUGCUUAGGUCCCCAUCCAUAGUUCUCUCUCUGGAUGUCAUCAAAUUUUCCAUCCAAAGUUUAUUGGAAUUGCCUUGAAUUACUGAAUUGCUGAGAAGAGCCAAAUCUCUCACAGUUGAUCAUCACAUAAUCUCGCUGUUACUGUGUACAGGGUUCUCUUGGUUCUAUUCACUUACUCAGCUUCAGUUCAUGUUAAGUUUUUCCAGGCUUUUCUGAAAUUAACCUGUUCAUCAUUUCUUAUAGAACAAUAGUAUUACGUUACAUUGAUAUACCAUAACUCAUUCAGCCAUACCCCAGUUGAUGGGCAUCCACUCAGAAAAUGUUGUUUUAAAAAAAUCUUUAUUGUUUUGGGCCUUUGUGUCACCUUAAUUUUUGAUCUUGUCCUUUCCCUUCCAAAGAGCUCUCUCUUAUAAGAAAAUAUCAAAAAAGAGGAAAAGAAGUUUAACAAAAUCAACCUAAGAGACAUGGAAAGUCUAAAAGUGUAUGCAGUAUUCCAUACCCAUAAUCCUCCAUCUGGAUAAAGAAGGGAAAUGGAGAUGCAUUAGAAAACUUUAUUAUGAUUAUGUUUGGGUGAGCUUAUGAGAAAGUAAAUUUUGAUGGGCUAGCAGAAGUUUGGCGUGGUUGAUAGGUUUUGCACAUCUUGUAGCAAGGGUGUUUAAUAUGUAAACCACAUGAUGCACAUGUAGAUAAAAUUACAUAGAUACAAAAUAUCAUGAGCACACAGAGAGAUUGUGUACUGAUUCUUAGCUUCUUUGUUCGCUGGCGUUUGGGUUUGGGCUUGGACAUGUGUGGGGUGGAACUAAAUCUCCUUUAACCUGGGAAUCUGUCAAUCAGCUGAUCUAGAGUGAUUCAUUCUGGGCCUGGCCCUCCGCUGGGCUGGGUGUGUGAUAGCAGGCUGGCUGACCUGAUUCAGCCGGAAAUGCCUAGUAAGCAUUACUGCCUUUGCUAUCCUCUUCCCCUCAGGUGCUGGUCCCCUUGGGCUUGCCAGAAACACAGGGCAGCACUUCCUUUUCUCCUAUCCUGUGAUUCUCCUGAUCACGACUCAGCAUCCAUUUGGCCGAAGCUGAUUUCCAAAAGCAGGAAUCUGUGGAGUUGGACUGAGGGGAAUGAACCGUGAGGGAGCUCCCGGGAAGAGUCCGGAGGAGAUGUACAUUCAGCAGAAAGUUCGGGUCUUGCUCAUGCUGAGGAAGAUGGGAUCAAAUCUGACAGCCAGUGAGGAAGAAUUCCUGCGGACGUAUGCAGGGGUAGUGAGCAGCCAGCUGAGCCAGCUCCCAUCACACUCCAUCGACCAGGGUGCAGAGGACGUGGUCAUGGCGUUUUCCAGGUCGGAGACAGAAGACAGGCGGCAAUAGCUACAGCGCAACCUGGAACCCACUGGAAGUCAACGAGGGCCAUGCAAGCUCUGGGAAGCUGGCUGCCUGCACCGGUCCCCUGCCCUUCCCUCCUCCCCACUCUUCAUGCCCCUAACUCCCUCUCCCCUGCCCUGGGAAGCACCUCCCAGCCCACUACCCAGCUGGCUGUGUUAGCGAGGGGGAGACCAGUGGUGCACAUGGGAUUGGCUCAAAGGGAUGGACUUUGUAAUUGGCUACAGGGAGAAAUCUUUUUAUUUUUUAAAACCUGACCAAUGGAAACCUUUUCUUUUUAUUUCUGCCUCUUUCACCACCUCAUCCCUUUUCUUGCUGUCUGGGCAUAGAACUUCCCAGGAAGCUCUCCUAUGCCUUGGUGCUUUAUUUAGGUCAUUUUUAGCAAUGUGAAAAGGUUUUGAUUGGCUGCCUAAAACUGGAAACAACUCUUGAUUGGCUGGUGAAAAGAAAACGCUUCUCUCUUUGAUUGGUUUCAGGUAUUCUGCUGAUCUCAACAGCUUGAUUCUAAGUAAAGAGAAUAGGGGUUGGGGCAUUGGCUGUUACAUUUGACUUGAAAAAAAAAAUACAAAACUAAGUGUGCUUUGCGAUAUUUAUUACACAAAGAGCUGCUGCUGCUUUUAAAUUUUAUUUUUGAAUUCGAUUGGCUUAUGGUCGAUGUGUUUGUUUUCCUGCUGGCUCUAGUGGCCAUAGAUUUACCCCCAAAAAACUACAUCCACAAAACCCUACCACCUCUGCUGCUUGAAAUCUCUGGUCCCAGGGGAAGCCAACUCAAGAAUCUAUUUACAUUAAUAAUUACACCUGCCCUCCCUGGAGCUGGAAAUAUAAAAGGCUCCUGGGCGAGGCCACAGCUGCAAACCAGGACCCAGGACAGACUGGAUAUCAGCUCUGUAAGAGUCAGAGUUAAGCGGUCACCAAGAGCUGAGGUGUGUGAGUGUGUGCCCGUGUGCCCGUGUCAUGUACAUGCACACACUCACACGUGCCACCCGCCACUCUUUGUAGGGUUAUGAUGUUGCUGGAAAAAAUACAGGGCCCCCCUGCCCCUAAAACCUUGUUUGUUCUGCAGCCUGAAAGCUUCUGGCUUGGAGGGAGCUUCUCUGUCCUUGUUUAGAGACUGCUGCUGCUUCUAAGUAGGGAAAAAGAAGCCCCAGGAGGCCCCUAGGCCCUUCCCUCAGGCACUUGGGAGGAGAUGGGGCUCAACUCACAGGUCCUGAGGAUGCCUUUGUGCACCCCCUUUUCUUUCCCCUCCCGUGGGUUUCUACUGCCCCAACCUACACUGACCAUCUUGCAGUCCCGAGUGUCCUCCUCCCACUCACCCCCCACAGUUCUCCCAGCCCCUUUUAAAAGCCUACAUGUUGAAAAGAAAGUCAUCAACCAUAAUUGCCAAACGUUCUGCCAGCUGGGGAGGGCCAGUCUGGCAGGCCCCUACCAAGGCCUUCUCCUAGCUUGGCAGGUAGGGCCGGCCUCAGCUCCCAUUUGUUAAUUCUCCACCUGGGCCCCUGAGCCAGGGGCUGGGGUGGAGGAAGCAGGGAAUCCUUAGUGCCAAAUCCCUGCAGGCAGUGUCAAAACAGAAGCUCCCACCCACCCUUCCCUCCCUCGAGGGGCCCCUGCACCCCCAUCUCUCCUGCCUGCCUUCCCGUGGCAUGCACAGGACUGUACUUUGAAGCAGGUAAACAGGAAACGUUGCCACGUUCAUAUGAAGCUUUUCUUGGGAAAGAGGAAAUCUUAUCUCUGUUCCCAAACAAACCCCAAGUUUUUAAUAAGGGGUCUAGCUCUAACCCUGUGCCCAGGGAGUGGAUGAGACUUUCUGAGCCAAACAGGACUUACUGCCCAAGGGCUUGGGGCCAACCGACAGCCACCAAGGCAUGAGGGGGCAGUUGCAGAGUGCCAACGGUUUAAUGACCUCCAGCAUGUGCAGAAAGGGCCCUCGGAGCAUUCUGCUGCCUGUGACCAAUUAGGAGUGCUAAUGAGGUCGCCUGAUCUGCCGUCCCAAUUCCUUUAAGGUUAGUUAGUCUGUACAAUAUAAACCUUCACAGCCACACCAAACAGCCCCCAGACCCAGCCAGGCUGCCUGGCCAUGUUGCCAAUGGCUGGUGGACAAAGGACCCAGCAGGGAGGAGAUGGUGGGGGUGUCCCAUAAGGCUGGGCACCCCUCCCUUUGGUGGAUACCUUGGUAGUGGGUCCGUAGCAAUGUCUUCCCUACAAAGGACCAGCCCCCAACUCCAGUGUCAUCAGCCGGAGUCCCAAUCGUUGGGCAAAAGGUGAACAACAGCCCCUGACACCCCGGGGUCCCCGUCCUGGCUUCUGUCACGGUGUUGCCCGCUGUGCUCCUGGCCAGCCUGCAGCGCCCAUCGAGGGUCCGAGCCCAGGUGGCGUAGCCAUGUGUUUGUCUGCGGCCCCAGGCCUGUCAAGCUAACAUGCAUCUCUCUUGUGUCCCCGAUGAUAACUCUGACCUGUCUAUCUUCUGAAGAAGAAAAGUGAAAGUGUUUCUGUGGUUUAAUCUUUUAACUAAAAAUGUAACUCUUGGGGAAAAAAUAACAAUAAAGGUUUUUAAUAGCUUGUCAUGGA
This 5720-nucleotide long non-coding RNA is filed under the name Sarcophilus harrisii (Tasmanian devil). RNAcentral's name for it is "lncRNA (ENSSHAG00000032095.1)". Lineage: Eukaryota; Metazoa; Chordata; Mammalia; Dasyuromorphia; Dasyuridae. The record is from RNAcentral.